Molecule: ribosomal RNA, 632 nt
Filed under: Escherichia coli
Lineage: Bacteria; Pseudomonadati; Pseudomonadota; Gammaproteobacteria; Enterobacterales; Enterobacteriaceae
Description: partial 23S ribosomal RNA
Rfam family: Bacterial large subunit ribosomal RNA
Source: RNAcentral
UGCGUACCUUUUGUAUAAUGGGUCAGCGACUUAUAUUCUGUAGCAAGGUUAACCGAAUAGGGGAGCCGAAGGGAAACCGAGUCUUAACUGGGCGUUAAGUUGCAGGGUAUAGACCCGAAACCCGGUGAUCUAGCCAUGGGCAGGUUGAAGGUUGGGUAACACUAACUGGAGGACCGAACCGACUAAUGUUGAAAAAUUAGCGGAUGACUUGUGGCUGGGGGUGAAAGGCCAAUCAAACCGGGAGAUAGCUGGUUCUCCCCGAAAGCUAUUUAGGUAGCGCCUCGUGAAUUCAUCUCCGGGGGUAGAGCACUGUUUCGGCAAGGGGGUCAUCCCGACUUACCAACCCGAUGCAAACUGCGAAUACCGGAGAAUGUUAUCACGGGAGACACACGGCGGGUGCUAACGUCCGUCGUGAAGAGGGAAACAACCCAGACCGCCAGCUAAGGUCCCAAAGUCAUGGUUAAGUGGGAAACGAUGUGGGAAGGCCCAGACAGCCAGGAUGUUGGCUUAGAAGCAGCCAUCAUUUAAAGAAAGCGUAAUAGCUCACUGGUCGAGUCGGCCUGCGCGGAAGAUGUAACGGGGCUAAACCAUGCACCGAAGCUGCGGCAGCGACACUAUGUGUUGUUGGGUAG